AAUCUAGCUUGACGAGUCUACAGACAUUGCA
This 31-nucleotide non-coding RNA is filed under the name Rattus norvegicus (Norway rat). The record is from RNAcentral. Lineage: Eukaryota; Metazoa; Chordata; Mammalia; Rodentia; Muridae.